GACAGGGGAAACUUUGUC
RNAcentral lists this unclassified non-coding RNA (18 nucleotides) under synthetic construct. RNAcentral describes it as "RNA (5'-R(*GP*AP*CP*AP*GP*GP*GP*GP*AP*AP*AP*CP*UP*UP*UP*GP*UP*C)-3') from synthetic construct (PDB 1AJF, chain A)". The record is from RNAcentral.